ACAGUGGACGCGAGCAUCUGUGGCCAAGUUUUUAAGGGCGCACGGUGGAUGCCUUGGCACCAGGAACCGAUGAAGGACGUGGGAGGCCACGAUAGUCCCCGGGGAGCCGUCAACCAGGCUUUGAUCCGGGGGUUUCCGAAUGGGGAAACCCGGCAGUCGUCAUGGGCUGUCACCCGCUGCUGAACACAUAGGCAGUGUGGAGGGAACGAGGGGAAGUGAAACAUCUCAGUACCCUCAGGAAGAGAAAACAACCGUGAUUCCGGGAGUAGUGGCGAGCGAAACCGGAUGAGGCCAAACCGUAUGCGUGUGAUACCCGGCAGGGGUUGCGCAUACGGGGUUG
RNAcentral lists this ribosomal RNA (340 nucleotides) under Streptomyces sp. PKU-EA00015. RNAcentral describes it as "partial 23S ribosomal RNA". It matches the Rfam family "Bacterial large subunit ribosomal RNA", at positions 1 to 300 of the family's 2925-position model. Lineage: Bacteria; Bacillati; Actinomycetota; Actinomycetes; Kitasatosporales; Streptomycetaceae. The record is from RNAcentral.